Sphaerodactylus townsendi is the source of this 208-nucleotide long non-coding RNA. RefSeq lists it as uncharacterized. The record is from RefSeq and is a predicted model, not a curated record. NCBI's taxonomy places the organism in Eukaryota, Metazoa, Chordata, Lepidosauria, Squamata, Sphaerodactylidae. The transcript has 3 exons.
GAAUUAGCAGUUGUGUUGGAGAGAAGGUUAGUUUGGCUGCUAGAUGCAAAUUUGCAAAUUUGCAAAUUCUAGAUCUAAAAGCCGAUCUCUUGGAGCCUAUUGUAUGCUUCUGAAUAGGACGGAUUAGGUAAGGGUGAUUCAAUAGGCAGGCCGAUGGAAAUAAUCUUUCUCUCGAUUGGAGAAAACCAGGGGCUCCGAUGCUAGUGAU